AAGUCGUAACAAGGUUUCCGUAGGUGAACCUGCGGAAGGAUCAUUAAAGAAUUCGGCUUCGCGGCCAAGUUCUCACCCUUUGUCAUUACCGAAACUAUGUUGCUUUUGGCAGGCCCCGCAUUCUUCGGGCCUGGCCAGAGGUGAUAACCCACUAGAAUCUCUGCUGUCUGAGUACUAUACAAUAGUUAAAA
This 191-nucleotide unclassified non-coding RNA is filed under the name plant metagenome. RNAcentral's name for it is "partial contains small subunit ribosomal RNA and internal transcribed spacer 1". The stretch from base 1 to 46 matches the Rfam family "Eukaryotic small subunit ribosomal RNA", at positions 1786 to 1831 of the family's 1831-position model. The record is from RNAcentral.